ACUCAAAUGAAUAGACGGGGGCCCGCACAAGCAGCGGAGCGUGUGGUUUAAUUCGACGCAACGCGCAACACCUUACCAGGGCUUGACGUCCUCGGAAUCCCCGUGAAAGCGGGGAGUGCUCCGCAAGGAGAGCCGGGAGGCAGGUGCUGCAUGGCUGUCGUCAGCUCGUGUCGUGAGAUGUUGGGUUAAGUCCCGCAACGAGCGCAACCCUCGCCGCCAGUUACGUGGAUGUCUGGCGGGACCGCCGGGUCAAACCGGAGGAAGGUGGGGAUGAUGUCAAGUCAGCAUGGCCCUGACGCCCUGGGCGACACACACGCUACAAUGGCCGGGACAAUGGGCAGCCAAGCCGUAAGGCGGAGCCAAUCCCCGUAAAACCCGGCCCCAGUUCGGAUCGUGGGCUGCAACUCGCCCACGUGAAGGCGGAGUUGCUAGUAACCGCAGAUCAGCAGUGCUGCGGUGAAUAUGUUCCCGGGCCUUGUACACACCGCCCGU
RNAcentral lists this ribosomal RNA (492 nucleotides) under uncultured bacterium. Its description in RNAcentral is "partial 16S ribosomal RNA". It matches the Rfam family "Bacterial small subunit ribosomal RNA", at positions 899 to 1397 of the family's 1533-position model. The record is from RNAcentral.